RNA transcript from Cucurbita maxima (winter squash), 1401 nucleotides. It is a transcript of the gene named organelle RRM domain-containing protein 6, chloroplastic-like, with no coding region annotated. The transcript is spliced from 5 exons. NCBI's taxonomy places the organism in Eukaryota, Viridiplantae, Streptophyta, Magnoliopsida, Cucurbitales, Cucurbitaceae. The record is from RefSeq and is a predicted model, not a curated record.
CGAAUUCCUGAAAUUGUUUCACCGGCUUUCGGCUGAAGCGCCGGAGAAGACGAAAAUGACCGCCGGAUUGCUAUUCUCAGCUGUUCCGAUACCGUUCUUUCAGCUUCAGUCCACUGAUUAUAACAAUAUCCGUUCAACCGUGACGCGCAUGCGAAUUCAAAGCAUUCAAUCCAAAUUAGCUUACAGUACUACGCCACUCCCUUUCUUCUCUGUCAAGAAGACUCGUUCAAUUUCAGACUCGCCGCUCUUUUCUGUGACCUGUGUCUCUUCUUCACCUUCGCCUUCUCCCAGAAGAUACUCGCCUUCAACCAGGCUCUACGUUAGUGGACUUUCGUUUCGGACCACUGAAGAGAGUCUGCGAAAUGCUUUCACAAGCUUUGGCCAACUUGUAGAAGUCAAUUUGGUGAUGGAUAAAGUAGCCAAUAGACCCAGAGGAUUUGCGUUCCUCCGUUAUGCUACUGAAGAGGAGUCUCAAAAAGCUAUCGAGGGAAUGCACGGCAAGUUUCUGGAUGGCAGGGUAAUAUUUGUGGAAGUUGCAAAGUCCAAAUGGGAGCUUCGCCAAGGACUUAAAGAAAACUCUAGCCCAUAGAGAAAAUUGUUUCCCUGGUAUUCAUUUUUUAAAGUGCUGUACUUUCUCUUAGGAAAACAUAUAUAAUAUAUAUGGACAGGCUUUGCGUUAUUGUUAUUGAUGUGAGUAAGCUUUAUCUUGCCCGUAUGAUAUAUAGUCAGUGUGUUUCAGGAGUCAUAUUAUCUCUUGAAAUUAAUUGAUAUUAAUAUUGGAGAUUGGUCAAGUGGAUCAUCUAACCAAAUAUGAACUUCUGAGACAUGAGAUAUGGUCAAAGAUCACAGGUUGUAAAAGGGGACAAGAAUGCUGAAAUGAUGAAUAAUAUUCAGAUGGCCUUAGGGAUACCAGAGAGGACUUUUAGGGGUACUAGACAUGGACUCGUGAGAAUGUGGGACAUAAUUCGAUACAAGGAGAGGCCCACUGUCCCUUCUAAAUCUCCUUUUAGAAAAGUCUACUUAAGGACAAGUCAAUGAUUCCUCUUGGAGAUUGAGGGUCGUUCCCCCCUGUAAUCAUAGGAAGAUCGAAUAUUAGACUGUUCGAUUUUUUUAUGCCUUCAAAUUAGACUAUUUGCACCAGGGAGCUAAAUCAAGUUUCUUCAAAGAUAGGUUCACUCUUUUCUCUGAAGGAUCAAAAUUUGCAAGAAGAUCUACAAAUAUGUUAAGAAGUCAUAGAGCAACACCGUUUUGUUUUACAGAUUGAUUAAUUGUCACUCAAAUACCCAGGAAUAGACAGGAUAGAAGUUGUUGGGUAACCCCUUAUAGGCUUCGCCCCUCCUGCUACUUUAGAUAUUACAUGCUACAAGUUUGGCCUCCAUUUUUUUCAUCUCAAGCAAAAGA